Molecule: transfer RNA, 83 nt
Filed under: Burkholderia pseudomallei
Lineage: Bacteria; Pseudomonadati; Pseudomonadota; Betaproteobacteria; Burkholderiales; Burkholderiaceae
Description: tRNA-Leu
Rfam family: tRNA
About the family: Transfer RNA (tRNA) molecules are approximately 80 nucleotides in length.
Source: RNAcentral
GGGCCCGUGGCGUAAUGGAAGCCGCACCGGUCUUAGAAACCGGCGCCUCGUGCGUGUCAGUUCGAGUCUGACCGGGCCUACCA